Molecule: long non-coding RNA, 1410 nt
Organism: Ictalurus punctatus (channel catfish)
Lineage: Eukaryota; Metazoa; Chordata; Actinopteri; Siluriformes; Ictaluridae
Source: Ensembl
UCUUUCUUUUUUUCUGUAAGCGCACACGUUUAUGCGGUUUACACAUCUGACAACCAUUUGAUGUUCCAGCAACAACGGCUCUAUUACGUGAUGAAAAAAAGACUGUAACAGUUAUCGUCCUGUAACAACGAGAAGCGACGACGUUCGUACAUUUAAAAGUGAUUUUCGUUGGUUGUUUGUAGCGGUUGUAUUCGGUGCUCAUUUUUUUUUGGUGGUGAUUUUUGAAAGUCAUUUCUUCAGGUUGUAUCCAGAGGUCCUUUUUCAUUUUCGUUUUUUUUUUGUUGCACAUUUUUCAUCGGUUGUUUCGCUGGUUGUUUUUGGUCAUUGUUUUUGAAGGUUGCUUUUUGUUGAUUGUUUUCUCUGGUAGUUGUUUUGGGGGUCUUUUUUUGGUGGUCAUUUUUGAAAGUUGUUGGUGGUUGUAUUCAGUGGGCUUUUUUUUGGUGGUUGUUUUCGAUGGUUUGGUUUGUUGGUUGUUUUUGGAGGUUGUUUUCGGUGGUCAUUUUGGAAAGUUGUCGAUGGAUUUUUUUAGAAGCGGUAUUCAGUCGUUAUUUUCAGUGGAGUUUUUUUUUCUGGUGGUCAUUUUUGGCAGUUGUUUUUCGUGGUUCUUUUUAGUGGUUUUACUCACUGGUCAUUUUCACAGGUCAGUUAGUUUUGGUGGAUGUAUUUGGUGGUCUGGUUUGUUGGUUGUUUUUGGUAGUUGUUUUUGGAGGUUGUUUUCUGUGGUCAUUUUUGAAAGUUGUUGGUGAUUGUUUUUAGUUUUCAUUUUCAGUGGUGAUUAUUAUUAUUUUAUUUUUUUGGUGGUCAUUUUCAGAGGUUAUUUAUGGUGGAUGUUUUUGGUGGUUAUAUUUUGUUGGUCGUUUUUGGAGGUCAUUUUUGGUGGUCGUAUUCAGCGGACAUUUUCGCUUUAGGUGGUUUUCGGUUAUCAGUGUUCAUUUUUAGUGGUUGUUUUCCCAUGCUUAUUUUCAGUGUUUUCAUUGUUGGUUGUUAUUAUUCAGUGGUCAUUUCUAAUGUUUUUUUUUUUUUUUUUUGGAUUCUGUGUGGACUGAAGUGUAAAAUGUUGAAAAUACACAUGCACUAUAAAAUGCAUCCAUUAUAAGGGUAACCAAACAAAAUUAGUAUUGCAGGCCUUAAGACUCAGACGGAGUGACUCAAUGUUACAAGUUCAAAGCCCAGGACUGCCAAAAAUGUCACUCCUGGGUGCUUGAGUUUGAUUCUUGCCCCUCGACUGCUUGCAUUGUGUUAUCUCUGAAUUGCAAGUGGCUUGAGAUGAAAGUGAAAUGAAUCAUCCUUGAGUAAACUGCAGACUUUCAGCAGAUGGGUAUGUAUCGAUCAGCAAGUCAUUUGCUAGAUACCUGGAAACAAACAGUAGCCUGUGUUAUCUUUAUUCUUCCUAUCAUAUAUAUGGAACUC